AGUGAACGCUGGCGGUAGGCCUAACACAUGCCAGUCGAACGGCAGCACAGUAAGAGCUUGCUCUUACGGGUGGCGAGUGGCGGACGGGUGAGGAAUACAUCGGAACCUACUUUUUCGUGGGGGAUAACGUAGGGAAACUUACGCUAAUACCGCAUACGACCUACGGGUGAAAGCAGGGGAUCUUCGGACCUUGCGCGAUUGAAUGAGCCGAUGUCGGAUUAGCUAGUUGGCGGGGUAAAGGCCCACCAAGGCGACGAUCCGUAGCUGGUCUGAGAGGAUGAUCAGCCACACUGGAACUGAGACACGGUCCAGACUCCUACGGGAGGCAGCAGUGGGGAAUAUUGGACAAUGGGCGCAAGCCUGAUCCAGCCAUACCGCGUGGGUGAAGAAGGCCUUCGGGUUGUAAAGCCCUUUUGUUGGGAAAGAAAAGCAGCAGGUUAAUACCCCGCUGUUCUGACGGUACCCAAAGAAUAAGCACCGGCUAACUUCGU
RNAcentral lists this ribosomal RNA (491 nucleotides) under uncultured bacterium. RNAcentral describes it as "partial 16S ribosomal RNA". It matches the Rfam family "Bacterial small subunit ribosomal RNA", at positions 29 to 506 of the family's 1533-position model. The record is from RNAcentral.